Long non-coding RNA from Pomacea canaliculata, 2396 nucleotides. RefSeq lists it as uncharacterized. The transcript is spliced from 3 exons. The record is from RefSeq and is a predicted model, not a curated record. NCBI's taxonomy places the organism in Eukaryota, Metazoa, Mollusca, Gastropoda, Architaenioglossa, Ampullariidae.
GCAAGAACGCACUCACCGUCAAGAAGUGGUGAUAAGAGACAACAGAAGAGAAUCGAACAGUCAGCAAGUCAACAGUUUUCAUUCGCAGAUUUCAGACGCCCAAGCCUUUCUCUGUUUGAAGAGUAGCCAUGAUGAAGCAUUCUCCCCGUGUGAUGUGUGGACUGCUGGUCCUGCUGCUGACGGCGCUGACGGAGGCCAGACACAGUAGCUGCAGGCAGCCAUCCAACCAGGAGCUGGCACAGUACCUGUCGGGAGGUUCCAGCCUCCCGGAGAGUUUUUAUCAGUUCCCGCAACUCCGCCAGACCGUCAGGACCUACAACACGUCCAGCGAUGGCUACCGGGCCAGACUGAGCACUUUCUAUGAUGAGGGGAAGAACUGCUCUGAUGAAAAGUUCAAGGACCCAUGUCCCUGUCACCUGGAUGUUCAACUACAACUCUGACCGCUUCCCGGACACCCUUGUGGAGGCCAAGUGCAAGCCGUGCGAGCGGGGUAAUAUCAUCUGCAGCCCUGUCUACUACUACACCAAGGUCAUGAGGAAAGGCAGCUGUAACAAUAACACUGGGGUGUACAACUAUGAACAGGUUUGCAACGACAGUCUUGAUUACGUACUUACUAUUUGUGGGAAGAUGAUGUGGUGUGUGCUAUAUAUAAGAGAGCUAAAGGUAGUUCCAUGCUACCAUGACUUCACUGUCGGUGACUGUAGUUUAGCUCAGGGCAAGCAUUUAUAUGGAGGUAUCCUCCUCACCCUUGCUGUCUUACCUUUCCUAGCGUGCUGAGGGGGUCAGGCACACGCAUAACAGUGGGUUCAACUGGGAAAAAGACUUUAGAAUAGAACAACCAAAGCUUCUGUGAGGCCCGUGCCUUAAUAACUAUCCAUUUUUUUUUUUAUUUUUGGAAGAAAUUCGAACAAGAGGAGGCUUGGAGGGAGGGUAGUAAUCUCACACACACACACGCGCGCGCACAACCACUGUGGAACCAUUCUACGGUCUGUAUAUACAUCUACCUAUCCACCUGGAUGUGUACACUGCUUUUUAAAGAAAAGUCCCUUCUGACGAUUGAAGUGGACUUAAGAGCCUCUAACUAGUGUCGCCCUUAACCUCACCUUGUUGUCUGUUGCAGGUGUGGGAGCCAAUUACCGUGGGGUGCGCUUCGAGGGGGGCGAACAAUCGCUUGGUGGCCAGUAACGGCAGGGCAGUUCCGCCUAACAAAAAGUAAUGUAUGGAGAAUCCGACGAAGAAGUCACUGGUUGUAUAGUCAGUAGUCUGUUCUCAUUUUCGUGGGAAACGACAGCUUUUAACUGUGCUGGGACUGACCACAACAUCUGUUGACUCAAACGUCAUCACGAAAGACAGACGGAGCUUCUACUGUCUGUAGAGUGACCGGGAACCUGGUUCGAAUCUGAUGUGGAAAUCGAUUUAUGCUUCCUAUUCAACUGCCUUGUUACACAAGGCAUUUAGUCUGUUUAUAAAGCAAUGCAAACACGGUUAACCAUAUAGGUAUAUAUAUAUGUCGUAUGCCAUAUUGGCAGUUCACGGACUUAUCAGUAUAUUGAAGUAAUGGUUAGAAGUCACAAAUAUAAUGUUUUGUAUUAUAACAAGUCCCGGUUUAUUAAGAAAAUAAAGAAAACUGAUGAGUAAACAUUUACUAUAUUAUCUCGUGUAUUUGAUAAGUAGAAAGAGGACAAGAAUAUCGCCAACUCGGCUGUAGAUAAAGCUGCUAGCAUAUUCGUGUGUAUUUUGGUUACUGUCCGCUUUAUUAUGUUACACACACAUAUAUAUAUAUCAUUAAGUAUCGCCUUAAGACUUCAAAGGAUCCAGAAUACUGCUGAUCGCCUCAUUUGCAGACCAUCUAGAUAUAAACAUGCAUCACCUAUCAUUCGCUCUGUUCACUGGCUGCCAGACGUGGACCAUAUAGCCUACAAACUUUCCACUUUGACUUACUCAGCCGUUGUUUUUGGCACUGGCCCUUGGUAUCUCUCUUGAACUCACUCCCAUCUAUACACCAGCAUGGCCUCCUCGCUCAUCUUUUGACACCAAGCUUCUGCGAGGCCAACUAAUACAAAGAAGCAUGGACCGAUGCCCUUCUCCUACAAAGUCCCAUCAACUUGGAACCCGUCAACCUGCGACACUUUGAUUCUAUUACUUUUAAGUCCAUAUUUAAGACAUAUUUUCAGAACGACGCCUUCAAUGUGACUUUGUCCUGACUAUGAGCGUGCAUAAUGUGUCUGUAAUUGACUUUGUGUAUGAGUGAGUUUAUGUUGUAGAAGUAAGGUGUGUCUGUAUGUAUGACUUAAGUAAAACCCUCUGAGCAAAUAUUUGGGAAAAUGUUAUAUAAAUCGCCAUCAUCAUUAUUAUAAACAUAUAUAUACACGCAUGCAUUCUUACAGCUGCAACUA